GUGGGGAAUAUUGCACAAUGGGGGAAACCCUGAUGCAGCGACGCCGCGUGAGUGAAGAAGUAUUUCGGUACGUAAAGCUCUAUCAGCAAGGAAGAAAAUGACGGUACUUGACUAAGAAGCCCCGGCUAACUACGUGCCAGCAGCCGCGGUAAUACGUAGGGGGCAAGCGUUAUCCGGAUUUACUGGGUGUAAAGGGAGCGUAGACGGUAUGGUAAGUCAGAUGUGAAAGCCCGGGGCUCAACCCCGGGACUGCAUUUGAAACUAUCAGACUAGAGUGCAGGAGAGGUAAGUGGAAUUCCUAGUGUAGCGGUGAAAUGCGUAGAUAUUAGGAGGAACACCAGUGGCGAAGGCGGCUUACUGGACGAUAACUGACGCUGAGGCUCGAAAGCGUGGGGAGCAAACAGGAUUAGAUACCCUAGUAGUCC
Molecule: ribosomal RNA, 425 nt
Filed under: uncultured bacterium
Lineage: Bacteria
Description: partial 16S ribosomal RNA
Rfam family: Bacterial small subunit ribosomal RNA
Source: RNAcentral